UACGUAGGGGGCAAGCGUUGUCCGGAAUCAUUGGGCGUAAAGAGCGUGUAGGCGGUCCGGUAAGUCCGCUGUAAAAGUCAAGGGCUCAACCCUUGAAGGCCGGUGGAAACUGCCGGACUAGAGUCCGGAAGAGGCGAGUGGAAUUCCUGGUGUAGCGGUGAAAUGCGCAGAUAUCAGGAGGAACACCGAUGGCGAAGGCAGCUCGCUGGGACGGUACUGACGCUGAGACGCGAAAGCGUGGGGAGCAAACAGG
RNAcentral lists this ribosomal RNA (253 nucleotides) under uncultured bacterium. Its description in RNAcentral is "partial 16S ribosomal RNA". It matches the Rfam family "Bacterial small subunit ribosomal RNA", at positions 524 to 776 of the family's 1533-position model. The record is from RNAcentral.